AACGCACAUUGCGCCCUUUGGUAUUCCAAAGGGCAUGCCUGUUCGAGCGUCAUUUGUACCCUCAAGCUUUGCUUGGUGUUGGGCGUCUUGUCUCCAGUUUGCUGGGGACUCGCCUUAAAGUUAUUGGCAGCCGGCCUACUGGUUUCGGAGCGCAGCACAAGUCGCGCUCUCUUCCAGCCAAGGUCAGCAUCCACAAAGCCUUUUUUCAACUUUUGACCUCGGAUCAGGUAGGGAUACCCGCUGAACUUAA
Molecule: unclassified non-coding RNA, 250 nt
Filed under: uncultured Alternaria
Lineage: Eukaryota; Fungi; Ascomycota; Dothideomycetes; Pleosporales; Pleosporaceae
Description: sequence contains ITS2
Rfam family: 5.8S ribosomal RNA (bases 1-52)
Source: RNAcentral